AACAGUCUUUCUAUGGAAGCUUGCUUCCACUGAGAAGAUAGUGGCGAACGGGUGAGUAACACGUGGGUAACCUGCCCAUAAGAGGGGGAUAACAUCCGGAAACGGGUGCUAAUACCGCAUAGUCUUCUUGAUCGCAUGAUUGAGAAAGGAAAGACGGCCUUUGUGCUGUCGCUUAUGGAUGGACCCGCGGCGUAUUAGUUAGUUGGUGAGGUAACGGCUCACCAAGACGAUGAUACGUAGCCGACCUGAGAGGGUGAUCGGCCACAUUGGGACUGAGACACGGCCCAAACUCCUACGGGAGGCAGCAGUAGGGAAUCUUCCGCAAUGGACGAAAGUCUGACGGAGCAACGCCGCGUGAGUGAAGAAAGGUUUUCGGAUCGUAAAACUCUGUUGUCAGAGAAGAACAAGUUGGAGAGUAACUGCUCCAGCCUUGACGGUAUCUGACCAGAAAGCCACGGCUAACUACGUGCCAGCCGCUGC
RNAcentral lists this ribosomal RNA (480 nucleotides) under uncultured bacterium. RNAcentral's name for it is "bacterial SSU rRNA". It matches the Rfam family "Bacterial small subunit ribosomal RNA", at positions 65 to 518 of the family's 1533-position model. The record is from RNAcentral.